AAAUUAUAUUAAGCAAGACAAAAGGUGCGUGUUUUCUCUCACAUGGGAAAGCUAGAUCUAAACUACACCAGGACUUGAUAAAUUAUACAGGACUCUAGGCAUUCA
Molecule: long non-coding RNA, 105 nt
Organism: Dipodomys spectabilis (banner-tailed kangaroo rat)
Lineage: Eukaryota; Metazoa; Chordata; Mammalia; Rodentia; Heteromyidae
Exons: 3
Source: RefSeq, a predicted model, not a curated record